AGCGAACGCUGGCGGCAGGCUUAACACAUGCAAGUCGAACGGGCGUAGCAAUACGUCAGUGGCAGACGGGUGAGUAACGCGUGGGAACGUACCUUUUGGUUCGGAACAACCCAGGGAAACUUGGGCUAAUACCGGGUAAGCCCUUACGGGGAAAGAUUUAUCGCCGAAAGAUCGGCCCGCGUCUGAUUAGCUAGUUGGUGUGGUAACGGCGCACCAAGGCGACGAUCAGUAGCUGGUCUGAGAGGAUGAUCAGCCACAUUGGGACUGAGACACGGCCCAAACUCCUACGGGAGGCAGCAGUGGGGAAUAUUGGACAAUGGGCGCAAGCCUGAUCCAGCCAUGCCGCGUGAGUGAUGAAGGCCCUAGGGUUGUAAAGCUCUUUUGUGCGGGAAGAUAAUGACGGUACCGCAAGAAUAAGCCCCGGCUAACUUCGUGCCAGCAGCCGCCGUAAC
RNAcentral lists this ribosomal RNA (452 nucleotides) under uncultured bacterium. RNAcentral describes it as "bacterial SSU rRNA". It matches the Rfam family "Bacterial small subunit ribosomal RNA", at positions 29 to 524 of the family's 1533-position model. The record is from RNAcentral.